UAUCAUACCUUUAUGUUUGAAGCUGAGACCGGCGAUAUUCCCAAGUAAUACGGCAGAUGAAGACACAAGUUUUAGUAAGGGAGGGCUCCUGCAGAGAUCAAUUCACGGACGCUAAUGUUGCCUUGAAUUAUAGUAUGAUAACCGACAGAGAUCAAGUCAAAGUCAGGCCUGCAGCGACGAGCCCCUUUCUUUCGGAUUGUGAAGUGUAAUGUUAAUGUUUAAUGUAGCUGUUUAACGUCGAAAAUUGUUAGUUUGUAAUUGUUUUUGAGAAGCAAAAUAAUUAAUCUGAGAAGUGUUUCCAGUUUUAUAAAGCUCAGGCAUGGGCACCGUAUUGUUUAUUUAGUUAUAUUUUAUACAAUAUCUUUGACCUUUGUCGCAUUAAGUUGUAGUACUACUACUAGUAGCGGGGUAGUACUAGUAAAUACUGAAUACUGUGUUUCGUUUAUUCUAUAAGUAUAUAAAUAUUGCUUUGUGUAUCUUUGUCGCAUAGUACAUAGUAUAAGUUGAUAAGUAGCGAGGUAGUUGAUACUGUUUCGUGAUGUAUUUUGAUCGUACAAUCUUAAUUAUUCGUAUUAUUAUACCGCAA
Molecule: long non-coding RNA, 586 nt
Organism: Bolinopsis microptera
Lineage: Eukaryota; Metazoa; Ctenophora; Tentaculata; Lobata; Bolinopsidae
Exons: 2
Source: RefSeq, a predicted model, not a curated record